Non-coding RNA from Chiloscyllium plagiosum (whitespotted bambooshark), 1705 nucleotides. Lineage: Eukaryota; Metazoa; Chordata; Chondrichthyes; Orectolobiformes; Hemiscylliidae. The record is from RefSeq and is a predicted model, not a curated record.
GGGAAUGAUACCAAUAGUUAAGAAGCUGCAAUCUUUGCACUCAGUUGAAGUCUCACGUCUCAGCCAAAGUACCAGAGCUACACAUUGCUCAAUUAUAAAUUGUUUUGGGAUGUUUUCAAACAACAUGGAAGUGGCAAAAUUUAAAAUGGCAGUAAUUCUCACCUCACCACUGGAAGUCAACUCGUUCAUCUUUAUUUUGACUGGGGGUUUAGUGAGAUUUUGAAAUGGAGUUGUCCUCGUGGAAUGCAAACUGAAAACCAGCGAGCAGGUUAUUCAUUAGCCAAAUGCCUGCUUUCUGUGUUGUUGCUGUUCUAAGAUUCUGUGAAGCAGCAGAAGAUAGUUGGACCUACUAUGUAUGUCUGGAAGACUCCAGUGGAAAUGUCCGGAGGAUGAAAUGGUUAGCAACGACAGCUAUUUUCCUUUCGCGCUGCAUACACAACCAGUGGAGAGGUUUCACCUCCAUUUUCCAUGCAUUUUUCAAACAAGAUCAAAAGAGUUCUCCUGAUCAACAUGUAUCUUUUAAUCAACACCACUAAAACAGAUCACCUUUUAUUCUUUGAGAAUAUGCUCCCCAUGCAAGUUAUCUGCUGCAUUUGCUGACAUUACAGCAGUGACUGCACCUUUUCUUAUUUUUAAAAAAAAACACCUAUUGUACUGCUGUAAAGAGCUUUCAACGUUCCGAGGUUGUGGAAAGUAUUCUUAAAAAAUUCAACUUUCUUCUGUACAGCUCCUAUGAUGUAUGCAAAGAAACUGAUGUUCAUUGUAAUGGUCAUGCAUUUUUUUUCCAUAUAAUGUUAAGGUUAAUGUUAACCGCUCUGGGUACUGGAGGAAUUUCACUAUAAUGAUGGAUUAGGAUGGUUUGAAUCACUUAUAAUUCAGCUCGAGUUUCCAAUGACUGGCCUUCACCAUGUGCAUUAACCUUAAAACCUUUUUGAGCUGAUAUUGCUGAAUGUGGGCCACAUUUUGUGUUUUUAUAUUCCAUUCCAUUAUAGGAGAAUUCUGAGUACUGAGAAUUCAUUUUGCCGGCAUCCUGAAGAAUAAUUUUUUUUCUAAAACAGUGCAGCGAAUUGAAAUAAUGAUGUCUAUCUGCUGAAGUGUUAAACACAUACAACAGAUUUACAGGAAAAAUAUUUUAACACUAAACAGGUCAAUAAAAAACCCUUCACUAUUUAAAAUUGGAUUUCAAUUAGACUUUGAACUUUUAAACAGGAUUAAAGAAAGGUAAAUGUUCUGUAACUAGAAGUCCUUUUAGAUCCAUUGGUCUGUGCUAAAUAAUUUUUUUUUGUUUCACACAGAUUGUUUUCUGAUUUCAAUUUACUGCGAUGUUAAAGGUAAAAAUAUAACAAUGUCUAUGGUAGCUUUACUACAGUAUUUUGUUUGUUCAUAUAAUCAUCUUAAACUUCUGACCCAAAAGUAUUAAUGGUUUCCGGUCAAUGGACAGGCAGGUUAGGUGUUCUGUUUAUUUAUUUUAAAAAAAUCAAGGCUGUCCUCUCCCCCACCACUGACUACAUGGGCAAGUGCGGCCAAGGGUUGCCUCUCUGCAUUGAGGCCCUUCCCUUUUUUUAUUCAUUUGUGUGACAUGGGUGUCAUUCGGUUGGCCAGGAUUUAUUGCCCUUCUAUAGCUGCACUUGAGAAGGUGAUGAGCUACCUCCUUGAACUGUUGCUGUCCACGUGCUCUAGGUUGACCCACAAUUCCCUUGGGGAA